GACGAACGCUGGCGGCGUGCUUAACACAUGCAAGUCGAACGGAAAGGCCCUGCUUUUGUGGGGUGCUCGAUUGGCGAACGGGUGAGUAACACGUGUGUAUCCUGCCCUUGUCUUUGUGAUAACUUCAGGAAACUGGGGCUAUUACCGGAUAGGAGCUCCUGCUGCAUGGUGGGGGUUGGAAAGUUUCGGCGGUUGGGGAUGGACUCGCGGCUUAUCCGCUUGUUGGUGGAGUAGUGGCUUACCAAGGCUUUGACGGGUAGCCGGCCUGAGAGGGUGACCGGCGACAUUGGGACUGAGAUACGGCCCAGACUCGUACGGGAGGCAGCAGUGGGGAAUAUGGCACAAUGGGCGGAAGCCUGAUGCAGCAACGCUGCGUGCGGGAUGACGGCCUUCGGGUUGUAAACCGCUUUCGCCGGUGACGAAGCGUGAGUGACGGUAAUGGGUAAAGAAGCACCGGCUAACUACGUG
Molecule: ribosomal RNA, 468 nt
Filed under: uncultured bacterium
Lineage: Bacteria
Description: partial 16S ribosomal RNA
Rfam family: Bacterial small subunit ribosomal RNA
Source: RNAcentral